AAAAAAAAACAAUUUUCUAAAACCAAAAUAGAAUGAGGCUUAGUCAAACACGACACAAUGUAAUGUAAAAGAAAAUAGUUUAUAGCUUGAAAUAGAUUUAUCCAACUUAGUUUACAUAAAUUUAAGACGUAAGCAUGGAUUAAAAAUGCUAAAAUAUUUUUUCUGGUCGGCGAGAUUUGAACACAUACUUGUUUGCAUAUUGUCUCAUAAUGCAAGAAAAGAAAGCAGUAUUGAAAUUCAGAC
Molecule: long non-coding RNA, 243 nt
Filed under: Mytilus galloprovincialis (Mediterranean mussel)
Lineage: Eukaryota; Metazoa; Mollusca; Bivalvia; Mytilida; Mytilidae
Source: RNAcentral